Molecule: ribosomal RNA, 466 nt
Filed under: uncultured bacterium
Lineage: Bacteria
Description: partial 16S ribosomal RNA
Rfam family: Bacterial small subunit ribosomal RNA
Source: RNAcentral
CGAACGCUGGCGGCGUGCUUAACACAUGCAAGUCGAACGGAAAGGCCCAGCUUUUGUGGGGUGCUCGAGUGGCGAACGGGUGAGUAACACGUGAGUAACCUGCCCUUGACUUUGGGAUAACUUCAGGAAACUGGGGCUAAUACCGGAUAGGAGCUCCUGCUGCAUGGUGGGGGUUGGAAAGUUUCGGCGGUUGGGGAUGGACUCGCGGCUUAUCAGCUUGUUGGUGGGGUAGUGGCUUACCAAGGCUUUGACGGGUAGCCGGCCUGAGAGGGUGACCGGCCACAUUGGGACUGAGAUACGGCCCAGACUCCUACGGGAGGCAGCAGUGGGGAAUAUUGCACAAUGGGCGGAAGCCUGAUGCAGCAACGCCGCGUGCGGGAUGACGGCCUUCGGGUUGUAAACCGCUUUCGCCUGUGACGAAGCGUGAGUGACGGUAAUGGGUAAAGAAGCACCGGCUAACUACGUG